AGUAAGGUAAUUCGGAACUUUUACGCGAGACCUUUGUCUGCCAGAAACUAUAUUGGUUGCAACAGAUGGACAAGAGUGAGCAAGGCGGCAUAACCAUUAGAAAACAAAACAAAAAACCCCACAACUCCUUCAACUGACCUUUGUAGUCACCAGAAGAUAUUCGUGCUGUAUCCCGUAAUCAAAGAGGCUGAAUCAGUAACCAAAAGGUUGAAAUCAGGGCAAAUGGAUGAUUAAUCCAACGAGAAUCAAAUCUGGGUCCCACCAUGGAUUGGUCCACCGUUGUUAGGUCUCCUUACUCUCCUCCAUUUUGUGGCUGUUCCUUAUCUUUCAUGACCUGGACACUCUGGAACAACACUGAAGAGGGGAAUUUGGACACAUACAGGGAGAAUAUCACGUGAAGACUGAGGCAGAAAUUGCAGUAAUAGAUCUAGAAGCCAAUGAAUGCCAAGAAUUGCCAGAAGCUAGAAAAGAGAAUGGAACGCAUUCUCCCUUCAAGCCUCCAGAAGGAAUCAACCUUGUCAACACCUUAAUUUCAGACUUCUAGCCACCAGAACUGUGAGAGAAUAAA
Molecule: long non-coding RNA, 568 nt
Organism: Nyctereutes procyonoides (raccoon dog)
Lineage: Eukaryota; Metazoa; Chordata; Mammalia; Carnivora; Canidae
Exons: 3
Source: RefSeq, a predicted model, not a curated record